GCCUACGGGGGGUAGCAGUGGGGAAUAUUGCGCAAUGGGCGAAAGCCUGACGCAGCGACGCCGCGUGAGGGAUGAAGGUCUUCGGAUCGUAAACCUCUGUCAGCAGGGAAGAACGGUCACUGUGCUAAUCAGCAGUGAAUUGACGGUACCUGCAAAGGAAGCACCGGCUAACUCCGUGCCAGCAGCCGCGGUAAUACGGAGGGUGCGAGCGUUAAUCGGAAUUACUGGGCGUAAAGCGCUCGUAGGCGGUAUGUCAAGUCAAGGGUGAAAUCCCCGCGCUCAACGUGGGCACUGCCUUUGAAACU
RNAcentral lists this ribosomal RNA (305 nucleotides) under uncultured bacterium. RNAcentral describes it as "bacterial SSU rRNA". It matches the Rfam family "Bacterial small subunit ribosomal RNA", at positions 337 to 634 of the family's 1533-position model. The record is from RNAcentral.